GAUUGGUUGAAUUUUAUUUUAACAGUGAUUAAACGAGAUUACAACACAAAUGAUCGGUUGAAAUUCAUUUGAUCAUUUAUUAGGCAAGACAACGGCUUAAACGAUUAGUCGAAGCUCGUUAAAAAUGGAAGAUAAGAAUACCGAUAUGAAGAGGAAAGCAAACAAAGCAAGAACGGACCACUAAGGGUGCAUUGAAUGAAUUGAAAGCUUUGAAAUCG
This 218-nucleotide long non-coding RNA is filed under the name Glycine max (soybean). RNAcentral's name for it is "long non-coding RNA (GMAX_LNC003675)". The record is from RNAcentral. Lineage: Eukaryota; Viridiplantae; Streptophyta; Magnoliopsida; Fabales; Fabaceae.